RNAcentral lists this ribosomal RNA (287 nucleotides) under uncultured bacterium. RNAcentral's name for it is "partial 16S ribosomal RNA". It matches the Rfam family "Bacterial small subunit ribosomal RNA", at positions 773 to 1060 of the family's 1533-position model. The record is from RNAcentral.
GUGGAUUAGAUACCCUGGUAGUCCACGCCGUAAACGAUGGAUACUAGUUGUCGGGACUUAUGUUUCGGUGACGCAGCUAACGCAAUAAGUAUCCCGCCUGGGGAGUACGGUCGCAAGGCUGAAACUCAAAGAAAUUGACGGGGGCCCGCACAAGCGGUGGAGUAUGUGGUUUAAUUCGAUGCAACGCGAAGAACCUUACCCAGGCUUGACAUCUAGGGAGCCUCUUAGAAAUAAGAGGGUGCUCUUCGGAGAACCCUAAGACAGGUGCUGCACGGUUGUCGUCAGCU